CCUACGGGUGGCAGCAGUGGGGAAUAUUGGACAAUGGGGGAAACCCUGAUGCAGCGACGCCGCGUGAGCGAAGAAGUAUCUCGGUAUGUUAAGCUCCAUCAGCCGGGGAGCAAAUGACGGUACGUGAGUCAGAAGCUCCGGCUAAAUACGUGCCAGCAGCAGCGGUAAUACGUCAGGAGCAAGCGUUAUCCGGAUUUACUGGGCGUAAAGGGGGUGUAGGCGGCCUGCCAGGUGCGAUGGUAAAUAGUGGGGGUCCAACCCGGGGCUGCAGUGGAAACUGGCAGGCUGGAGUGCCGGAGAGGUAGGCGGAAUUCGCAGUGUAGCGGUGAAAUGCGUAGAUAUUGGGAGGAACACCAGUGGCGAAGGCAGCAUGCUGGACGGGGACUGACGCUGAGGCUCGAAAGCGUGGGGAGCGAACAGGAUUAGAUACCCGAGUAGUC
Molecule: ribosomal RNA, 440 nt
Filed under: uncultured bacterium
Lineage: Bacteria
Description: partial 16S ribosomal RNA
Rfam family: Bacterial small subunit ribosomal RNA
Source: RNAcentral